UACGUAGGUGGCAAGCGUUGUCCGGAUUUACUGGGCGUAAAGAGCGCGCAGGCGGUCGGCCAAGUCGAGUGUGAAAGCCCCCGGCUCAACUGGGGAGGGUCAUUCGAUACUGGUCGACUCGAAGGCAGGAGAGGGAAGCGGAAUUCCCGGUGUAGUGGUGAAAUGCGUAGAUAUCGGGAGGAACACCAGUGGCGAAGGCGGCUUCCUGGCCUGUUCUUGACACUGAGGCGCGAAAGCUAGGGGAGCAAACGGG
Molecule: ribosomal RNA, 253 nt
Filed under: uncultured bacterium
Lineage: Bacteria
Description: partial 16S ribosomal RNA
Rfam family: Bacterial small subunit ribosomal RNA
Source: RNAcentral